This is an RNA transcript of Manihot esculenta (cassava), 2765 nucleotides long. RefSeq lists it as uncharacterized. The transcript is spliced from 12 exons. The record is from RefSeq and is a predicted model, not a curated record. NCBI's taxonomy places the organism in Eukaryota, Viridiplantae, Streptophyta, Magnoliopsida, Malpighiales, Euphorbiaceae.
AAAUACUUUAAUAGAUUUUUAAAAUACAAUUUAAGGCAGGAUUGCGAACCCCUCGAAGCUUAGACUGGCACUGUAUUCUGAUUUACUGAAGAUGUUGGUCUUAUCCUGCGCCUCUGUUGCUUAUCCUGUUCAAUGGUUGAGGGUUUCCAUGGCCACACAAGUUCGUUCAAGAACUCAAGUUUCUUUCCACCGCCAUGACAAUCCAUUUGUUCCUGAGGUUGUGAAAGCUCUAGAUUCCUUAGAUGCAGAAUUCAGAGCUGUGGAUUAUUUAGUGGCAUGCAAUACUUCCCGUGUCCUUAAAGCUUUCCAGAAUGCUCGGGUUGGAUCUCAUCACUUUGGUGGAUCUACUGGCUAUGGUCAUGAUGAAGUUGGGGGACGUGAAGCACUUGACCAAGCUUUUGCUGAAAUUGUAGGAGCUGAAUCUGCAAUAGUUCGUUCACAGUUCUUCUCAGGAACCCAUGCUAUCACUUGUGCACUGUUUGCUUUCUUGAGGCCAGGGGACGAGCUUUUGGCAGUUGCUGGUGCUCCUUAUGACACCUUAGAGGAAGUUAUUGGAAAACGGGAAUCUCAUGGAGCGGGUUCCCUGAAAGAUUUUGGAGUCGAGUACCGAGAAGUUCCACUGGCUGAAGAUGGUGGACUUGACUGGGACGCACUUACGAGUGCUUUGAAACCUCAUACAAAAUGUGCUCUCAUCCAGAGGUCAUGUGGUUAUUCAUGGCGUCGAAGUUUAAGUGUAAAUGAGAUAGGGAGGGCCAUAGAGAUGAUCAAGAUGUACAAUCCUAACUGCUUGGUCAUGGUGGAUAAUUGCUAUGGUGAAUUUGUUGAGAAAAUUGAACCUCCAAUGGUGGGUGCAGAUCUGAUUGCAGGCAGUUUGAUUAAAAAUCCAGGUGGAACCAUUGCACCAUGUGGUGGGUAUGUUGCAGGGAGAAAAAAAUGGGUAGAAGCAGCAGCAGCUCGUCUGUCUGCACCAGGGCUUGGAAUGGAUUGUGGUUCCACCCCUGGUGAUAUUAUGCGAACUUAUUUUCAGGGGUUGUUCCUUGCACCUCAGAUGGUUGGCGAAGCAAUCAAGGGCACCUUUCUGAUCGCUGAAGUCAUGGCUUCAAGAGGGUAUAAGGUGCAGCCUCUACCUCGUGUUACCCGUCAUGACACAGUCCAGGCAGUACAGCUUGGAAGCUGUGAACGACUUCUUGCAUUCUGUGAAGCUGUACAGAGAAGUUCACCAGUAGGUUCAUUCACUAAACCAGUUGCUGGCUCAACUCCUGGAUAUGCAUCUGAGGUCUGGCCAUAUCGUGUUUUUUGCAGCAUUUAUGGUGAUCUUUGCUGAUGGAACCUUCAUUGAUGGGAGUACAAGUGAACUAUCAUGUGAUGGUCCUCUCAGGGAGCCGUUUGCCGUUUUCUGCCAGGGUGGCUCUCACUGGACUCAAUGGGGCUUAGUUCUGGGAGAGGUGUUGAAACACAUCUGAUCCAAACAUGAUUUUGACCAUCAAGAGAUAUACAAAUGUGUUGAAUUCUAAUUUUCGUCGGACAUCAUUAUUUUCCAGUAAGCAUGAAGAAUUAUCAGUGAAAUCGUAAGGUUGAGCAAGCGUAUGCAGACAUCAUUGUUAAGGUUGCUUAAAAUCUUAUUUGCAGUAUCCGAAUUUCACCGACUAAUGUGGAGAAUGAUGAGUUUUGGGUUUAUUUAGAGGCAGAGAUUCCAUUUCGCAUUGAUAAAGUUCUAUGGAAGAAAUGAUUCAGUAGCUUCAACUUUUGAAACAAUGUACUAGUACACACUUAUUUAAAUGUGUAUACUCAACAUGGUUACUUACUGUCGUAGCUUUAAGGUUUUGGUCCAAUUUGUAGUCAUUCACGAAGCCAAUUGUGUCAAUUGGGUGAUUAGUUGUCCUUCUAUAUUUUAUAACUAGAAAUCAUGCUAAUAUUUCGACAAUCAACAAUAUGCAAUCAAAUAAUAUAGGCAAUCCUUCAAUAUAUUCUCAACAAUAUUCACUGUUCUCUCUGGCUUAUGUUAGAGACAGGUUUUACUCCCUUUCGGGAGUAUUUCUCUAGGCUUGUCUUAGCUUAUCUACCGGUCACCGACGUGGCUUUCCCUGCCCCUUUCGGGCAGGGAGGCUUCCUCUCUACCCGGUUGUGGGUCGUCCUCCUAAUAGUUUCUUUUGUUCUUAGCAGAUCAAAGCUUUAAAGGGAGGACUACAUUUAAUUAUGCCUUUUUCUUUUUUUUUUUCUUUCUUUCUUCCUUUUUUUGUUUUACUUUUCUAGUUGCAGAUCUGCAUGUGAGAGCUCCAUCAUCUACUUUUGCCUUCAGGCUUAAGGAGUCUUUUCUGGAGGGUCUUCUGGAUUUGGUGAGGAUAUCUCUAGAGCCUAUGAGCUACCGUCUUGCUUGCAGCCCACUUUUUUAGAGUCUAUAACCCUCCAGGCAAAAGAAAGCCAUGAGUAAUACCUCAUCCCCCUUCUUUUCUUGAUUGCUUGAAGCUGGUGUUGAACAUCUUCUCUACCGCUUCUUUGGUCAUGCUGCUCCAACUCCCAUCUCACCGACGGCGCUCCAAGUUUCUUCUGGUUUAGUUUGGUAGGGUUUUUCUGUUUAUGGGCUGACCUGUAUUUCCUCUUGAACUUAAUUGUGAGGGGCUUUGGACCUAUUUGGUUGGAAUAUCUGUUUGGGUUGUAUUAGAUCUUAGGCCUAAGAGAUGCCUGUAUUCUCUUAGGCCUGUAUUCUCUAAUCCUUUGUAAUGCAUCUCUAUUUUUAGAAAAAAAAAAAUUCACUAUUACCUCAA